Molecule: long non-coding RNA, 384 nt
Organism: Pieris brassicae (large cabbage white)
Lineage: Eukaryota; Metazoa; Arthropoda; Insecta; Lepidoptera; Pieridae
Exons: 2
Source: RefSeq, a predicted model, not a curated record
GCAUAUAAUUAGGACAUGUAAGCGACUAAACUCAUUCUAAAAGUGUUUGAGGCAAAACUAAUUUAAUUCAAUAAUAAACAUGAAGGUUUUGGCUGUUGCUCUUUUUGUCGCCCUCGUGUGCAUCACACUGGCUUCACCUAUUGAUGAAGAUUUAGACAAUCCACAACUGUCUGUAGAAGGCAUGGAACCAAUGGAGAUGUUAAAUGGCGCUCGUCAACGGAUCUGCACGGCUGCGUUGUGUCAAUCUGUGUGCAGGAGUCUGGGAUGGCGCACAGGCAGCUGCAACGCGCAGCUAUUGUGCAUAUGUCGACGUUAACCGUUGUAAUUCUUAAUGUAACUUUAGUUUACUGCUAAUUUUAAGGUAUUAAUAAAUCAUUAGGCUUA